GAAACCCGGUGAUCUAGCCAUGGGCAGGUUGAAGGUUGGGUAACACUAACUGGAGGACCGAACCGACUAAUGUUGAAAAAUUAGCGGAUGACUUGUGGCUGGGGGUGAAAGGCCAAUCAAACCGGGAGAUAGCUGGUUCUCCCCGAAAGCUAUUUAGGUAGCGCCUCGUGAAUUCAUCUCCGGGGGUAGAGCACUGUUUCGGCAAGGGGGUCAUCCCGACUUACCAACCCGAUGCAAACUGCGAAUACCGGAGAAUGUUAUCACGGGAGACACACGGCGGGUGCUAACGUCCGUCGUGAAGAGGGAAACAACCCAGACCGCCAGCUAAGGUCCCAAAGUCAUGGUUAAGUGGGAAACGAUGUGGGAAGGCCCAGACAGCCAGGAUGUUGGCUUAGAAGCAGCCAUCAUUUAAAGAAAGCGUAAUAGCUCACUGGUCGAGUCGGCCUGCGCGGAAGAUGUAACGGGGCUAAACCAUGCACCGAAGCUGCGGCAGCGACACUAUGUGUUGUUGGGUAGGGGAGCGUUCUGUAAGCCUGUGAAGGUGGCCUGUGAGGGUUGCUGGAGGUAUCAGAAGUGCGAAUGCUGACAUAAGUAACGAUAAAGCGGGUGAAAAGCCCGCUCGCCGGAAGACCAAGGGUUCCUGUCCAACGUUAAUCGGGGCAGGGUGAGUCGACCCCUAAGGCGAGGCCGAAAGGCGUAGUCGAUGGGAAACAGGUUAAUAUUCCUGUACUUGGUGUUACUGCGAAGGGGGGACGGAGAAGGCUAUGUUGGCCGGGCGACGGUUGUCCCGGUUUAAGCGUGUAGGCUGGUUUUCCAGGCAAAUCCGGAAAACCAAGGCUGAGGCGUGAUGACGAGGCACUACGGUGCUGAAGCGACAAAUGCCCUGCUUCCAGGAAAAGCCUCUAAGCAUCAGGUAACAUCAAAUCGUACCCCAAACCGACACAGGUGGUCAGGUAGAGAAUACCAAGGCGCUUGAGAGAACUCGGGUGAAGGAACUAGGCAAAAUGGUGCCGUAACUUCGGGAGAAGGCACGCUGAUAUGUAGGUGAAGCGACUUGCUCGUGGAGCUGAAAUCAGUCGAAGAUACCAGCUGGCUGCAACUGUUUAUUAAAAACACAGCACUGUGCAAACACGAAAGUGGACGUAUACGGUGUGACGCCUGCCCGGUGCCGGAAG
RNAcentral lists this ribosomal RNA (1175 nucleotides) under Escherichia coli. RNAcentral's name for it is "partial 23S ribosomal RNA". It matches the Rfam family "Bacterial large subunit ribosomal RNA", at positions 717 to 1875 of the family's 2925-position model. The record is from RNAcentral. RNAcentral also lists the same sequence under 1 other name. Lineage: Bacteria; Pseudomonadati; Pseudomonadota; Gammaproteobacteria; Enterobacterales; Enterobacteriaceae.